CACCCGGUGGCACAAGGUGUGCGUCUGCUCGAUUUGCAAAAUAUCUUCUCGAGCAAAUUUCUGCAGAAUGCCUCGGUUCGAUUCCGGGUCGGGUGA
Molecule: non-coding RNA, 96 nt
Organism: Mycena epipterygia
Lineage: Eukaryota; Fungi; Basidiomycota; Agaricomycetes; Agaricales; Mycenaceae
Source: the annotation of a GenBank genome assembly